UCGAGGAUCUUCGGCAAUGGGCGCAAGCCUGACCGAGCGACGCCGCGUGUGCGAUGAAGGCCUUCGGGUUGUAAAGCACUGUCGAGGGGGAUAAAGCCGAAAGGUUGAUAGAUCCCUGGAGGAAGCACGGGCUAAGUUCGUGCCAGCAGCCGCGGUAAGACGAACCGUGCAAACGUUGUUCGGAAUCACUGGGCUUAAAGGGCGCGUAGGCGGGGUCGUAAGUCUAUGGUGAAAUCCCCCGGCUCAACCGGGGAAUGGCCGUGGAUACUGCGACCCUCGAGGGGUGUAGGGGCAUGCGGAACUUCGGGUGGAGCGGUGAAAUGCGUAGAGAUCCGAAGGAACGCCGGUGGCGAAAGCGGCGUGCUGGACACCUUCUGACGCUGAGGCGCGAAAGCCAGGGGAGCAAACGGGAUUAGAUACCCCUGUAGUCC
This 431-nucleotide ribosomal RNA is filed under the name uncultured bacterium. RNAcentral's name for it is "bacterial SSU rRNA". It matches the Rfam family "Bacterial small subunit ribosomal RNA", at positions 355 to 796 of the family's 1533-position model. The record is from RNAcentral.